AGGCACGCUGGCGCUAGGUGAAGUGGUUUACCCAUGGAGCUGAAGCCAGUCGCAGAUACCAGCUGGCUGCAACUGUUUAUUAAAAACACAGCACUGUGCAAACACGAAAGUGGACGUAUACGGUGUGACGCCUGCCCGGUGCUGGAAGGUUAAUUGAUGGGGUUAUCCGUAAGGAGAAGCUCUUGAUCGAAGCCCCAGUAAACGGCGGCCGUAACUAUAACGGUCCUAAGGUAGCGAAAUUCCUUGUCGGGUAA
RNAcentral lists this ribosomal RNA (254 nucleotides) under Vibrio parahaemolyticus. RNAcentral's name for it is "partial 23S ribosomal RNA". It matches the Rfam family "Bacterial large subunit ribosomal RNA", at positions 1744 to 1979 of the family's 2925-position model. Lineage: Bacteria; Pseudomonadati; Pseudomonadota; Gammaproteobacteria; Vibrionales; Vibrionaceae. The record is from RNAcentral.